CCCCCAGUAGCGGCGAGCGAACGGGGAGGAGCCCAGAGCCUGAAUCAGCAUGUGUGUUAGUGGAAGCGUCUGGAAAGGCGCGCGAUACAGGGUGACAGCCCCGUACACAAAAGCGCAUGUGCUGUGAGCUCGAUGAGUAGGGCGGGACACGUGGUAUCCUGUCUGAAUAUGGGGGGACCAUCCUCCAAGGCUAAAUACUCCUGACUGACCGAUAGUGAACCAGUACCGUGAGGGAAAGGCGAAAAGAACCCCGGCGAGGGGAGUGAAAAAGAACCUGAAACCGUGUACGUACAAGCAGUGGGAGCCCCACCACUAAGCCAGUGGUGAACUCCACAUACGCAUCCUUUGCUGAGGAUACGGUUAACGGAGCGAAAGCGACGUUCAACCGCAAAAGAAGCAGAGGGGGCUUAGUGGUGGGGUGACUGCGUACCUUUUGUAUAAUGGGUCAGCGACUUAUAUUCUGUAGCAAGGUUAACCGCAUAGGGGAGCCGGAGGGAAACCGAGUCUUAAUUGGGCGUUAAGUUGCAGGGUAUAGACCCGAAACCCGGUGAUCUAGCCAUGGGCAGGUUGAAGGUUGGGUAACACUAACUGGAGGACCGAACCGACUAAUGUUGAAAAAUUAGCGGAUGACCUGUGGCUGGGGGUGAAAGGCCAAUCAAACCGGGAGAUAGCUGGUUCUCCCCGAAAGCUAUUUAGGUAGCGCCUCGUGAAUUCAUCUCCGGGGGUAGAGCACUGUUUCGGCUAGGGGGCCAUCCCGGCUUACCAACCCGAUGCAAACUGCGAAUACCGGAGAAUGUUAUCACGGGAGACACACGGCGGGUGCUAACGUCCGUCGUGAAGAGGGAAACAACCCAGACCGCCAGCUAAGGUCCCAAAGUCAUGGUUAAGUGGGAAACGAUGUGGGAAGGCCCAGACAGCCAGGAUGUUGGCUUAGAAGCAGCCAUCAUUUAAAGAAAGCGUAAUAGCUCACUGGUCGAGUCGGCCUGCGCGGAAGAUGUAACGGGGCUAAACCAU
RNAcentral lists this ribosomal RNA (1014 nucleotides) under Salmonella enterica subsp. enterica serovar Duesseldorf. Its description in RNAcentral is "partial 23S ribosomal RNA". It matches the Rfam family "Bacterial large subunit ribosomal RNA", at positions 237 to 1190 of the family's 2925-position model. Lineage: Bacteria; Pseudomonadati; Pseudomonadota; Gammaproteobacteria; Enterobacterales; Enterobacteriaceae. The record is from RNAcentral.